Molecule: ribosomal RNA, 460 nt
Filed under: uncultured bacterium
Lineage: Bacteria
Description: bacterial SSU rRNA
Rfam family: Bacterial small subunit ribosomal RNA
Source: RNAcentral
GGGCUUGACAUCCCACGAACCUGCCUGAAAGGGCGGGGUGCCCGCAAGGGAGCGUGGAGACAGGUGGUGCAUGGCUGUCGUCAGCUCGUGUCGUGAGAUGUUGGGUUAAGUCCCGCAACGAGCGCAACCCUCACCCCUAGUUGCCACCGGGUAAUGCCGAGCACUCGAGAGGAACUGCCAGCGUCAAGCUGGAGGAAGGCGGGGAUGACGUCAAGUCAUCAUGCCCCUUACGUCCUGGGCUACACACGUGCUACAAUGGCCGGUACAAAGGGACGCGAGACCGCGAGGUGGAGCCAAUCCCAAAAAGCUGGUCUAAGUUCGGAUUGCAGUCUGCAACUCGACUGCAUGAAGUAGGAAUCGCUAGUAAUCGCGCAUCAGCACGGCGCGGUGAAUACGUUCCCGGGCCUUGUACACACCGCCCGUCACACCACGAAAGCUGGCUGUACUCGAAGUCGCUGAG